UACGAAGGGGGCUAGCGUUGUUCGGAAUUACUGGGCGUAAAGCGCACGUAGGCGGAUGGGCCAGUCAGGGGUGAAAUCCCGAGGCUCAACCUCGGAACUGCCUCCGAUACACCACGUCUCGAGUCCGGAAGAGGUGAGUGGAACUCCUAGUGUAGAGGUGAAAUUCGUAGAUAUUAGGAAGAACACCAGUGGCGAAGGCGGCUCACUGGUCCGGUACUGACGCUGAGGUGCGAAAGCGUGGGGAGCAAACAGG
This 253-nucleotide ribosomal RNA is filed under the name uncultured bacterium. Its description in RNAcentral is "partial 16S ribosomal RNA". It matches the Rfam family "Bacterial small subunit ribosomal RNA", at positions 524 to 776 of the family's 1533-position model. The record is from RNAcentral.